Molecule: ribosomal RNA, 253 nt
Filed under: uncultured bacterium
Lineage: Bacteria
Description: partial 16S ribosomal RNA
Rfam family: Bacterial small subunit ribosomal RNA
Source: RNAcentral
AACGUAGGUGGCAAGCGUUACUCGGAUUUACUAGGCGUAAAGCGAGUGUAGGCGGGCGGUUAAGUUCUUUGUGCAAGCCCCAGGCUUAACCUGGGGAGGUCAGGGAAAACUGAUUGCCUUGAGUAAGGUAGGGGGGACUGGAAUUCCCGGUGUAGCGGUGAAAUGCGUAGAUAUCGGGAGGAACGCCAACGGCGAAGGCAAGUCCCUGGGCCUUUACUGACGCUGAGACCCGAAAGCUAGGGGAGCAAACAGG